Non-coding RNA from Solanum lycopersicum (tomato), 1150 nucleotides. The record is from RefSeq and is a predicted model, not a curated record. Lineage: Eukaryota; Viridiplantae; Streptophyta; Magnoliopsida; Solanales; Solanaceae.
UAUGUAUAUAUACAAUUUUCUGUCUCUUUAUACAAACACAAACAUAUUUUAUACAUUUGUGUUUGUGUAAAAGCGAGAGAGGCGAGCGAGACUGCCACCAAACGAGAGUGGCGAGUGAGAUUCCACCAGGGAGAGAGGCGAAAAUAAUAAUAAUUUGCUAUAUAGUACAAUUAAAUCAAAAUAUAUAGUUAUAGAACUUAAUUUGAAUUAUAGUUUGAUAUUAUAUACCAUUUUUCCUUAUUAUUAUUAUACUUACUAUAAUAUAAUCUUCAUAACCUGGUUUUCUUGAAUUCGCUUCUUCUACUCCAUCUUCAGUUUUAUAUACUUUGUGAAUCAUAGCAAUUUGUAGCUUAUUCUUUUUAUAUAUGUAAUAUAUAUUUAGGUUUCAAUUGAAAUAUUAAUAUUUUCAUGUCCGAUUUUAUAUUUUUUAUUUGACCAAAUACAUACGCAGGUUCUUAUUGAAUCCUUGAACCCCCAAUAAUUUGAUCCUUUUAAGUAUUCUUGGCUGAUGUGUAGCCAAACGUAAUCUCAUGUCCUUUAAGCGCUGAUGUGGAUCUUGAACCACCCACCAACAGUCUUCUUCCCCCUUUUAACUCUAAUUUCUCCCAUUCUUCUCUUAUUUCUCCUCUUUUGUUUCUCUUCAUCAUUAUUUCUCCUCUUUAGCUCACUAUAUUAUGUCUCUUUUUCAUUGAUUUCUUCUUAAUCAUCAAGUUCCAAUGUCAAAUUUAUCUUCUUCAUUGAUUUCUUCUUCUUCAACUGCAAAUGUGCUAUGUCAAUGUGGGAACAUUGUGGAAAUGAACCUCAUGGACGCAAUCCAAUCCUUGAUGUAGGUUCUUUUGUUGCAAAACUUCAAAGGCACGAGGUGGAUGUGAAUAUUUCCGAUGGUAUGAUGAUGAAAUGCUGGCUCAAGCUAGGAGGGUGAUAUGAGGUUUGUUGAAAAAAGUCAAAAUAUAUGAAUUGGAGAGGAAUCGAUCAAGAAAAGUUUGGAUGAUAUGCAUUGUCGUAGGGGUGAUAUUGACUACUUGGAUUUGUGUAACAAAACGAUCUUAGUUGUUUCAUUUCUCUUCUACUAAAUUACUUCAUAAAAGUAUGUAUGGUAGAUUGUAGUGUUCUUUAUGAGGACAAUUUUGAUCGAUUUUUCUAUUGUAAA